GAACGUAACUAACUGUAUGCUACGGGCAGAAUUGCAGUCGUU
RNAcentral lists this unclassified non-coding RNA (42 nucleotides) under Mesorhizobium prunaredense. RNAcentral's name for it is "ctRNA_pT181". Lineage: Bacteria; Pseudomonadati; Pseudomonadota; Alphaproteobacteria; Hyphomicrobiales; Phyllobacteriaceae. The record is from RNAcentral.